UAGCUAAAUGCGGAAGAGAUAAGUGCUGAAAGCAUCUAAGCACGAAACUUGCCCCGAGAUGAGUUCUCCCUGACUCCCUGAGAGUCCUGAAGGAACGUUGAAGACGACGACGUUGAUAGGCCGGGUGUGUAAGCGCAGCGAUGCAUUGAGCUAACCGGUACUAAUGAACCGUGAGGCUUAACCUU
This 185-nucleotide ribosomal RNA is filed under the name Escherichia coli. RNAcentral's name for it is "partial 23S ribosomal RNA". It matches the Rfam family "Bacterial large subunit ribosomal RNA", at positions 2746 to 2925 of the family's 2925-position model. Lineage: Bacteria; Pseudomonadati; Pseudomonadota; Gammaproteobacteria; Enterobacterales; Enterobacteriaceae. The record is from RNAcentral.